GACGAACGCUGGCGGCGUGCCUAAUACAUGCAAGUUGAGCGCUGAAGGUUGGUACUUGUACCAACUGGAUGAGCAGCGAACGGGUGAGUAACGCGUGGGGAAUCUGCCUUUGAGCGGGGGACAACAUUUGGAAACGAAUGCUAAUACCGCAUAAAAACUUUAAACACAAGUUUUAAGUUUGAAAGAUGCAAUUGCAUCACUCGAAGAUGAUCCCGCGUUGUAUUAGCUAGUUGGUGAGGUAAAGGCUCACCAAGGCGAUGAUACAUAGCCGACCUGAGAGGGUGGUCGGCCACAUUGGGACUGAGACACGGCCCAAACUCCUACGGGAGGCAGCAGGAGGGAAUCUUCGGCAAUGGACGAAAGUCUGGCCGAGCAACGCCGCGUGAGUGAAGAAGGUUUUCGGAUCGUAAAACUCUGUUGGUAGAGAAGAACGUUGGUGAGAGUGGAAAGCUCAUCAAGUGACGGUAACUACCCAGAAAGGGACGGCUAACUACGUG
Molecule: ribosomal RNA, 497 nt
Filed under: uncultured bacterium
Lineage: Bacteria
Description: partial 16S ribosomal RNA
Rfam family: Bacterial small subunit ribosomal RNA
Source: RNAcentral